Molecule: ribosomal RNA, 752 nt
Filed under: uncultured bacterium
Lineage: Bacteria
Description: bacterial SSU rRNA
Rfam family: Bacterial small subunit ribosomal RNA
Source: RNAcentral
GGCCGCGGGAAUUCCAUUCAGGCCUAACACAUGCAAGUCGAGCGGUAGAGAGAACCUUGCUUCUCUUGAGAGCGGCGGACGGGUGAGUAAUGCCUAGGAAUCUGCCUGGUAGUGGGGGAUAACGUUCCGAAACGGACGCUAAUACCGCAUACGUCCUACGGGAGAAAGCAGGGGACCUUCGGGCCUUGCGCUAUCAGAUGAGCCUAGGUCGGAUUAGCUAGUUGGUGAGGUAAUGGCUCACCAAGGCUACGAUCCGUAACUGGUCUGAGAGGAUGAUCAGUCACACUGGAACUGAGACACGGUCCAGACUCCUACGGGAGGCAGCAGUGGGGAAUAUUGGACAAUGGGCGAAAGCCUGAUCCAGCCAUGCCGCGUGUGUGAAGAAGGUCUUCGGAUUGUAAAGCACUUUAAGUUGGGAGGAAGGGCAUUAACCUAAUACGUUAGUGUCUUGACGUUACCGACAGAAUAAGCACCGGCUAACUCUGUGCCAGCAGCCGCGGUAAUACAGAGGGUGCAAGCGUUAAUCGGAAUUACUGGGCGUAAAGCGCGCGUAGGUGGUUUGUUAAGUUGGAUGUGAAAUCCCCGGGCUCAACCUGGGAACUGCAUUCAAAACUGACUGACUAGAGUAUGGUAGAGGGUGGUGGAAUUUCCUGUGUAGCGGUGAAAUGCGUAUAUAUAGGAAGGAACACCAGUGGCGAAGGCGACCACCUGGACUAAUACUGACACUGAGGUGCGAAAGCGUGGGGAGCAAA